AUCGAAGACAUCGUUUUUUGAAAGUAAAACUCUACCUUUAUUAUAAAAAAUUAAUUGGUUUAACUAGCGAAAGUGAAAUUGUUUAUCAAUGGAUAACUUCGUGUUAACAUUAGACAGUGAUAUAGGUUAUUAAUAAACACAGCCUAUUCAUAUAAAUAAAUGAAGUGUCUUAUUAGAAUCGAAACAUACAAGGAAAAUAGAUGUUAACUAAAAUGAAAAGAAAAAAGAAUUAUAGAAAGAAAUUCAUCAUCAGACGAGAAUGACAUUUUAAGCGACACUAGCUUGAGGUUUAUGAUGCAAAAUAAUAAUGAGAAAAAUAUCUCAAAACGUAGAAGUGCAGACUUCAAAUAUUUUCCAUUAGCGAGUUAACAUGUCACGGUCGACCAACAAAUUAAUCAAUCGUUCAUUGUGCUAAUAUUUAAAAUUAAAUUUAUAAUAUUUAUGCUAUUCUGUUAACAUAUACAUAGUUAUACAUUUUAUGGUAUUAUGGUUUUGUUUUAAGAUUAAUU
This is a long non-coding RNA of Bombus impatiens (common eastern bumble bee), 509 nucleotides long. RefSeq lists it as uncharacterized. The transcript is spliced from 3 exons. The record is from RefSeq and is a predicted model, not a curated record. NCBI's taxonomy places the organism in Eukaryota, Metazoa, Arthropoda, Insecta, Hymenoptera, Apidae.